Molecule: long non-coding RNA, 121 nt
Organism: Amblyraja radiata (thorny skate)
Lineage: Eukaryota; Metazoa; Chordata; Chondrichthyes; Rajiformes; Rajidae
Exons: 3
Source: RefSeq, a predicted model, not a curated record
AAAAACGCCCCGACCUACUUGAUGCCACGAGUACCUACAACCUACAUCACGGCCUACCUACGGCCUCGUGAUGACCACGCUGCGAGUUCAAGUCAAGGGCAAACUCGGCAGAGGUCGCCAA